Molecule: ribosomal RNA, 254 nt
Filed under: uncultured bacterium
Lineage: Bacteria
Description: partial 16S ribosomal RNA
Rfam family: Bacterial small subunit ribosomal RNA
Source: RNAcentral
UACGUAGGGGGCAAGCGUUGUCCGGAUUUAUUGGGCGUAAAGAGCUCGUAGGUGGUUUGGUAAGUCGGAUGUGAAAUCUCCAGGCUCAACCUGGAGGGGUCAUUCGAUACUGCCAUGACUAGAGGUCGGUAGGGGAGUGUGGAAUUCCUGGUGGAGCGGUGAAAUGCGCAGAUAUCAGGAGGAACACCCGUAGCGAAGGCGGCACUCUGGGCCGAUUCUGACACUGUGGAGCGAAAGCGUGGGGAGCGAACAGG